This 751-nucleotide ribosomal RNA is filed under the name Staphylococcus cohnii. Its description in RNAcentral is "bacterial SSU rRNA". It matches the Rfam family "Bacterial small subunit ribosomal RNA", at positions 77 to 813 of the family's 1533-position model. Lineage: Bacteria; Bacillati; Bacillota; Bacilli; Caryophanales; Staphylococcaceae. The record is from RNAcentral.
AGCUUGCUCCUUUGACGUUAGCGGCGGACGGGUGAGUAACACGUGGGUAACCUACCUAUAAGACUGGAAUAACUCCGGGAAACCGGGGCUAAUGCCGGAUAACAUUUAGAACCGCAUGGUUCUAAAGUGAAAGAUGGUUUUGCUAUCACUUAUAGAUGGACCCGCGCCGUAUUAGCUAGUUGGUAAGGUAACGGCUUACCAAGGCAACGAUACGUAGCCGACCUGAGAGGGUGAUCGGCCACACUGGAACUGAGACACGGUCCAGACUCCUACGGGAGGCAGCAGUAGGGAAUCUUCCGCAAUGGGCGAAAGCCUGACGGAGCAACGCCGCGUGAGUGAUGAAGGUCUUCGGAUCGUAAAACUCUGUUAUUAGGGAAGAACAAAUGUGUAAGUAACUGUGCACGUCUUGACGGUACCUAAUCAGAAAGCCACGGCUAACUACGUGCCAGCAGCCGCGGUAAUACGUAGGUGGCAAGCGUUAUCCGGAAUUAUUGGGCGUAAAGCGCGCGUAGGCGGUUUCUUAAGUCUGAUGUGAAAGCCCACGGCUCAACCGUGGAGGGUCAUUGGAAACUGGGAAACUUGAGUGCAGAAGAGGAAAGUGGAAUUCCAUGUGUAGCGGUGAAAUGCGCAGAGAUAUGGAGGAACACCAGUGGCGAAGGCGACUUUCUGGUCUGUAACUGACGCUGAUGUGCGAAAGCGUGGGGAUCAAACAGGAUUAGAUACCCUGGUAGUCCACGCCGUAAACGAUGAG